This 473-nucleotide ribosomal RNA is filed under the name uncultured organism. Its description in RNAcentral is "partial 16S ribosomal RNA". It matches the Rfam family "Bacterial small subunit ribosomal RNA", at positions 335 to 799 of the family's 1533-position model. The record is from RNAcentral.
ACUCCUGCGGGAGGCAGCAGUGGGGAAUUUUGGACAAUGGGCGAAAGCCUGAUCCAGCCAUGCCGCGUGCAGGAUGAAGGCCUUCGGGUUGUAAACUGCUUUUGUACGGAACGAAACGGCCUUUUCUAAUAAAGAGGGCUAAUGACGGUACCGUAAGAAUAAGCACCGGCUAACUACGUGCCAGCAGCCGCGGUAAUACGUAGGGUGCAAGCGUUAAUCGGAAUUACUGGGCGUAAAGCGUGCGCAGGCGGUUAUGUAAGACAGUUGUGAAAUCCCCGGGCUCAACCUGGGAACUGCAUCUGUGACUGCAUAGCUAGAGUACGGUAGAGGGGGAUGGAAUUCCGCGUGUAGCAGUGAAAUGCGUAGAUAUGCGGAGGAACACCGAUGGCGAAGGCAAUCCCCUGGACCUGUACUGACGCUCAUGCACGAAAGCGUGGGGAGCAAACAGGAUUAGAUACCCCGGUAGUCCCAUG